GUACACUCCUGCGGGAGGCAGCAGUGGGGAAUAUUGGACAAUGGGCGCAAGCCUGAUCCAGCCAUGCCGCGUGAGUGAUGAAGGCCCUAGGGUUGUAAAGCUCUUUCACCGGUGAAGAUAAUGACGGUAACCGGAGAAGAAGCCCCGGCUAACUUCGUGCCAGCAGCCGCGGUAAUACGAAGGGGGCUAGCGUUGUUCGGAUUUACUGGGCGUAAAGCGCACGUAGGCGGACUAUUAAGUCAGGGGUGAAAUCCCGGGGCUCAACCCCGGAACUGCCUUUGAUACUGGUAGUCUUGAGUUCGAGAGAGGUGAGUGGAAUUCCGAGUGUAGAGGUGAAAUUCGUAGAUAUUCGGAGGAACACCAGUGGCGAAGGCGGCUCACUGGCUCGAUACUGACGCUGAGGUGCGAAAGCGUGGGGAGCAAACAGGAUUAGAAACCCGUGUAGUCCCAUGA
This 453-nucleotide ribosomal RNA is filed under the name uncultured organism. Its description in RNAcentral is "partial 16S ribosomal RNA". It matches the Rfam family "Bacterial small subunit ribosomal RNA", at positions 331 to 800 of the family's 1533-position model. The record is from RNAcentral.